This 232-nucleotide unclassified non-coding RNA is filed under the name Hevea brasiliensis (rubber tree). Lineage: Eukaryota; Viridiplantae; Streptophyta; Magnoliopsida; Malpighiales; Euphorbiaceae. The record is from RNAcentral.
GCCAUCCUGCCGCUCGACGCGGUUCUUCAGCACGCCGAUGUUCUGAACCUCGAGCUCUAUCUCGUCCCCAUGCUCAAGGAACCAGCCAAGUUCGAGGCCGCAGCCAUUGCCGACCGUACCNNNNNNNNNNUCUCGUCCUGGGUGACAUGCUGGAUGAUCUCCUCAAACGAGAAGAGCAUGCCAUCGCUCACACCUUUGGAGCGAACCUCUCCAUUGACGCGAACUUCCAUAU